This 161-nucleotide ribosomal RNA is filed under the name Hordeum murinum subsp. leporinum. RNAcentral describes it as "5.8S ribosomal RNA". It matches the Rfam family "5.8S ribosomal RNA". From Rfam's summary of the family: 5.8S ribosomal RNA (5.8S rRNA) is a component of the large subunit of the eukaryotic ribosome. It is transcribed by RNA polymerase I as part of the 45S precursor that also contains 18S and 28S rRNA. The record is from RNAcentral. Lineage: Eukaryota; Viridiplantae; Streptophyta; Magnoliopsida; Poales; Poaceae.
ACGACUCUCGGCAACGGAUAUCUCGGCUCUCGCAUCGAUGAAGAACGUAGCGAAAUGCGAUACCUGGUGUGAAUUGCAGAAUCCCGCGAACCAUCGAGUCUUUGAACGCAAGUUGCGCCCGAGGCCACUCGGCUGAGGGCACGCCUGUCCGGGCGUCACGC